RNAcentral lists this ribosomal RNA (490 nucleotides) under uncultured bacterium. Its description in RNAcentral is "partial 16S ribosomal RNA". It matches the Rfam family "Bacterial small subunit ribosomal RNA", at positions 30 to 507 of the family's 1533-position model. The record is from RNAcentral.
AUUGAACGCUGGCGGCAGGCCUAACACAUGCAAGUCGAACGGUAACAGGAAGCAGCUUGCUGCUUUGCUGACGAGUGGCGGACGGGUGAGUAAUGUCUGGGAAACUGCCUGAUGGAGGGGGAUAACUACUGGAAACGGUAGCUAAUACCGCAUAACGUCGCAAGACCAAAGAGGGGGACCUUCGGGCCUCUUGCCAUCGGAUGUGCCCAGAUGGGAUUAGCUAGUAGGUGGGGUAACGGCUCACCUAGGCGACGAUCCCUAGCUGGUCUGAGAGGAUGACCAGCCACACUGGAACUGAGACACGGUCCAGACUCCUACGGGAGGCAGCAGUGGGGAAUAUUGCACAAUGGGCGCAAGCCUGAUGCAGCCAUGCCGCGUGUAUGAAGAAGGCCUUCGGGUUGUAAAGUACUUUCAGCGGGGAGGAAGGGAGUAAAGUUAAUACCUUGGCUCAUUGACGUUACCCGCAGAAGAAGCACCGGCUAACUACGUG